ACGGGAGGCAGCAGUGGGGAAUAUUGCACAAUGGGGGAAACCCUGAUGCAGCAACGCCGCGUGAGUGAUGAAGUAUUUCGGUAUGUAAAGCUCUAUCAGCAGGGAAGAAGAUGACGGUACCUGACUAAGAAGCACCGGCUAAAUACGUGCCAGCAGCCGCGGUAAUACGUAUGGUGCAAGCGUUAUCCGGAUUUACUGGGUGUAAAGGGAGCGCAGGCGGUCCUGCAAGCCAGAGGUGAAAACCCGGGGCUCAACCCUGCGGAUUGCCUUUGGAACUGUGGGACUUGAGUACUGGAGGGGCAGGCGGAAUUCCUGGUGUAGCGGUGAAAUGCGUAGAUAUCAGGAGGAACACCGGUGGCGAAGGCGGCCUACUGGACAGAAACUGACGCUGAGGCUCGAAAGCGUGGGGAGCAAACAGGAUUAGAUACCCUGGUA
RNAcentral lists this ribosomal RNA (435 nucleotides) under uncultured Lachnospiraceae bacterium. Its description in RNAcentral is "partial 16S ribosomal RNA". It matches the Rfam family "Bacterial small subunit ribosomal RNA", at positions 341 to 792 of the family's 1533-position model. Lineage: Bacteria; Bacillati; Bacillota; Clostridia; Lachnospirales; Lachnospiraceae. The record is from RNAcentral.